This is a long non-coding RNA of Homo sapiens (human), 1965 nucleotides long. RefSeq lists it as uncharacterized. The record is from RefSeq and is a predicted model, not a curated record. Lineage: Eukaryota; Metazoa; Chordata; Mammalia; Primates; Hominidae. The transcript is spliced from 2 exons.
UAAACCUUUUUCUUUUAUAAAUUGCUCAGUCUUAGGUAUGUCUUUAUUAGCAGUGUGAAAAUGGACCAAUACACUGCCCUUAAUUGUCUUUUUAUUCACUGUUACUGGUUUAAAAUCUGUUUUAUCUGAUAAAAGAAUAGCAAUCCCUGCUCUGUGUUGUUUUCCAUUUGCAUGAUGUAUCUUUCUUCACCCCUUUACAUUGAGCUUGAGGGUGUCAUUACAGAUUAGGUGGGUCUCUUGUAGCAGUAGAUGAUUGGGUCUCUCUUUGUUUUUUUUUUCUUUUUAUCCAGUUUGCCAAUCUAGAUAUUUUAAGUGCAGCAUUUAGACUAUAUACAUUCAAAGGUAAUAUUGAUAUGUGAGGCUUUGAUUCUGUCAUAGUUUGUUAGGUAGUUACUUUGAAUCACCCAAUGUCUGCCUUAAUAUUCACAUGGAACUCUCCCUGUGUGCUUGUCUGUCUCCAAAUUUCCCCUUUUAUAAGGACAUGAGUCAUAUUGAAUUAAGAGCCCACCUUACUCAAGCACGACCUCAUCUAAACUAUUAUUAUAUAUAAAUAUGUCUGCAAUUACCCUAUUUCCAAAUAAGGUCACAUUCUAAAGUACUCAGGAUUAGGACUGCAACAAACAGAUGUUGUGGAGACACAAUUCAACACAUAAGACUUUGAGACUUUGCUUCCAAUAUGGAAUUGAUAUCCCAAAACCCAUAUGAGGUGCCUUCUCUCUGAGACUUUUAGCCUGAAUCUACUAAUGUGAAGGAGGAGGGUUAGUUGCUACGGUAGAUGCUAUUUUGCUAAUGUUCCAUAGAAGUGAAGGCAGUGAGGUUGAGAGUUGAGGGGCUCAGUGGGGAGGAUACUGUUGUGGCUGCUCCAGGGAUUGCAUUUGAAUUUUGUCUGGGUUCUUGAUGACCUAGAUUCCCUUGGUUCCUUCCAAUUCUCUUAGCUUUAUUUGCCCACAUGUCUCCAAAUUCUUGAGUUGUUUAAUAACUUUCCAGUGAAAGUCCUGUUUGGCUCCAGUUAGCCAGAGUUGGUUUCUGUUGUGUAUAAGCAAUAAACUUGUCAAGUACACAUACUUCAUGAUAUUUUAUAUCUUUUCAGUUCAUCCUAUAUUAAAAAGUAAGAAAAUAAUUCAAUUGCAUAAAUCAGGAAAUUCUUUAAUUAGACCUUUAAAGUUAAACAGCCAUUACAAUGAACAAAUUCCAUGUUACUGGAAAUAAUAUGGUUUUGUUUCUAAUUGAGUUUAAGGUAACUAACUUCAGUCUGAGCAAAUGAGAACUAUGGUAUGAUUAAAUUAUAUAUAUCAUUGAAUUCAACUCCAACUGAAGUCAUUAUCAGAAAAGUCAUUAUUGAAGAAUUAUGCUACUAUUCCUUGCUGAGAUGGAUGAGGGAAGGAAAAACAUAAUCUUAUUAACUUUUAAAAUUAUAUUUCAUUUAUGAGGUAAGGAAUUUAUGAAAUGAAACACUAAGCAUCAUAUUUCAGGUAAAUUUUGUGAUAUAAAUCAGUUGUAUUUAUAGAUUCAAAGCUAAGCUUGAAAAAAGUCUCAGAAGCUAAGGGGCUGAUGACCCUAUAAACUGUAAAAUGUGUUAACACCAAUAAAUUCUGGUCCCUCAGUUCAAAGGGCAUUUGAUUAUACGCUGCACUGUCAGUGCUACUCACAUCGGAGCUCAUCUUGGAAUGAUAAACAAGGCAGGCCUGUAAUGUAUACCAGAGAAUGACAAGAUGCACCUGUCCCUACAAGUUUUGAGACAAAACAGUAGGCACUUGCAGACAGCUGUGUCAUCUAUGAGAAAGUCUACUCAUAGGCUCACCAACAGGCAAGAAGAAACACCCCCAGCCAGUUUAGACUACAACAUCACAAUGUUUGCAUUGGUAUAUCUUUUAUUUCUCUGAGAUUAUUUUGAAUAGAAAACUAUGUUGGCUAAAAUCUAUUAGUAAAAUUCCUUUGUAUGUAAUAAAGGGCUGUUGAUCUCUG